This is a long non-coding RNA of Pongo pygmaeus (Bornean orangutan), 4174 nucleotides long. RefSeq lists it as uncharacterized. The record is from RefSeq and is a predicted model, not a curated record. The transcript is spliced from 4 exons. Lineage: Eukaryota; Metazoa; Chordata; Mammalia; Primates; Hominidae.
AUCCCCCCCGCCAACUGCGGACACACACUGCGCCUGCGCCUGCGCCCUGCCGCGCCCACACACCAGGCCACCCCGUCCCCGGCGCGGUGCGUGCGCAGGCGCAGAGCUCUAGCGGCGGCCGCGCGGUCCAAUGCGGUGAAGUGGAGUGCUCGGCGGAUAGACAAAAGGAGGGGAAGGAGCGGGGCGGGGCAAAGGGCGGGGAAAGAGCGAGGGCGGGCGGGUGUGCUCCGUUCGGCCCGGGAAUCCGAUUGGUUAUCGAUUCCCGCGGAAAUCACCCCGGUGCCUCUCGCGCCCCCUGGCCGGCCUAUGGCGAUAACUUCACGGAGACGGGCGUGGCUGGAGUUUUGCUUUAUUGAAGUUGAACGGUUGGGGCCAGGCUGCGAAGGAGACUGAGAGCGCGACAAGGCCUUGGACAGAUGCCCGCGCGGGGAAGGAAGGCUGGCUUAGGAAGGGGCGUCAGCUAUGGUUUAGCAGCUUCCAGCGGCCGAAACCUACAUCAUAGCCGCAGCACACAAUUCCAGGAAACCUGGUGCUCAAUAUUGGGAUCUCAGGAAUCAGGACCGGCGGCUGGGGUGAAAGCCUAGCGGUCAGAGCGCAGGAGUGAGGCAGAAGCUGUUAGAGACUCUUCGCAAGUGGCCCCGGGGCUACAUAUGGAUGAUUCAAGAGGGAGUCUCCUUGCCAGAAAGCUCACGUUUCACUCCUUCUGGCCUUCAUACCAACCCAUUGUUAAAACUGGAAGUCCCUCCACCUGGGGCCACUGACUCCACUGUUUUCAGAUAGGAUGGGGACCCUGCACUGGAGACUGCUCUCUACCCCCUGGGCAGGAGAGGCACAGACACUGCUACGCACGCGGAGCAGAGAUCACCAGAGCUUUGACUGACUUUGCUCGUCCAGGAGGCUGGGGACAUGCGUGCCCAUGCUCAGCCCACCCCCUCUGUAGAAACAAUUGGUCGCCCAUUCUGUUUAUAGGAAGUCUUCCAUCCUGCACCAGCAGCUGUCCCUAGACAGGGAUUGGGAGACAUGCAAGUGGCUUGGCUUCCUAUUACCUUGUGUUGAAAACACAAUAGGCUUUGGGAUCAGGAGUUCAUUCCAGUUAUUUUAAUGUUAUUUACUAGCAGUGUGCCCUCGUGCACAUUAUCAAACUCCUCUGACUCUUGGAAUCCUCAUUUUUCAAUAAUAACUCACAAAGCUGUCAAGCCUAAGGGAUCUAACAGCUCGAACAGCACCUGGAACAGAAGCAAUAGCCGCCACUCAGAGGUUACUUUUUCCUUCUCCACCUUCUCUGGAUCACCUCCCUACCUCAUCCUCAAUCUAACGCUGGAAAUAUUGGAUAUGGGGUAGGUCACCAAAUGUUGCCAGAAGACUCAAAUUAUGCCACCCAUAUCUCAGCUGGGAAGGGCUUACCGUGGCCUGACUCUCCUCGGGGUCCAAGUCCCCAUUUAUGAUGUCCAGGCAGAAACAUAGUUUGUGACACAUAGUAGGCGCUGGAAAAUGUUAGUCAAAUGAAAGAGGUCUGGUGUGGAGAGAAGAGAAAUCUUGGGAGAGUCAUUUAAGGGGGUGCCCAGUUGUCUUCAUAAAAAACACUGUCAUCAUCAGGGUGACCAAGGCAGACAUCAUAGGCAGGGGGUGGAGUCAGAGGCUCUAAUCUGGGGACUGCUCCCAAGCUCCGCAGAUCAGGAGCAGUGGACACAGCCCGUGGUCCCCGAAGCCGAAGGUUGAUUGGAGCUCUUCCAGGGCUUCCUUCCUGGGCCAUAGACCCCUCUGAGGCCAUUCGCCUCUGUUCCAGUUCGGCUCUCCUGGACCCCUCUGGAUGGCUAGGUUGUUCCUCCUCAGGUGCUGGGGGUAUCACAACAGUGCUGUAGGGGGGUGGUUGGUCCAACUCUUGGGGGCGGCACUGGGAUUCUAGUCCCACCACGGCCUCUUCAUAGACUGGCACUUCAAAGGCUUCAUUGUCCCUGACGGAAGAGAAAUAAGGCCAUUGGUGGCUUCCAUGAAAGAAGCCCUUUUUCCCUUUUUUGUCUGCUAUGGGCAAAAGAUCCUCUGUUGGCCUCUGACCCCUCCUCCUGCUGAUGCCAAUGACAGGAAACCAGAGACUCUAUGCCUCAGAGACUACAGGGAGAGAGGGAGGAUGGGCCUAAGGUGUAUUUCUCUUAUGAUGCCCACCCUUAACUCACCGUGCAUUGCCUGAGGGCCCUGAGAUCUCAGUCUGCAUUGAUUGGAGCUGGGACCGAAGCCCCCAUUCCAGAAACCGGACCAGGAGAUAGGCAAACAAGAAGAAGCCACCCAAUGUGAGAAAGAAAUAAGCAACAGGGGUGAUGUCCGUCUUUAUGCCCAGCAAAGCCAGCCCCAGUAGGAAGGAGGCGCAGCACAGGAGGAGAAGCGGCUUCUCCAGUCUCCCCAGUUCUUCAAUCUCAAAUCAAAUAAAUAAUCUGUACAGUCCCCUCCAGCUCCGAAAUUCUCUUUAUGUCUUGGAGUGUGUGGAAUAGCCAGGAAACCAGCCCAGGAGCUUUGACUCCCAGCCAUUCUGCACCGUAAGCAAAAAGGAAGUUAGCCACACAUGGUGGCUCAUAACUAUAGUCUCGGCUACGUGGGAGGCAAGGGGAGAGGAUCUCUUGAGCCCAGGAGUUCGAGGCCAGCCUAGGCAAUGUAAUGGAGUCUUGCUCUGUCAGCAGGCUGGAGUGAAGUGGCGCAAUCUCGGCUCACUGCAACCUCUGCUUCGUGGGUUCAAGUGAUUCUCCUGCCUCAGCCUCCUGAGUAGGUGGUACUACAGGCACCCACCACCACUCCCAGCUAAUUUUUUGCAUUUUUUUUUUUUUUUUUUUAGUAGAGACAGGGUUUCACCAUAUUGGCCAGGAUGGUCUCAAUCUCUUGACCUCAUGAUCCACCCUCCUCGGCCUCCCAAAGUGCUGGGAUUACAGGAGUGAGCCACCACACCCGGCCCAUUUUGUAAUAUUUAUUUAUUUAUUUACUUACUUAUUGCCAUUGAGUUGUAGGGGUUUCUUAUAUUUUUCGGAUAUUAAACCCUUAUCAGAUAUAUGAUUUGCAACUAUUUUCUCCUAUCCCACAGGUCGCCUUUCAGUUCUGUUGACUAUUUCCUUUGCUGCUCAGAAAUUUAUAGUUUGAUAAAAAUUCUCAACAAACUGGGUAUAGGAGGAUUUUUUCUCAACAUAAUGAAGUUCAUGUAUGACAAACCUGCAGCUAGUAUUAUAUGCAGCAGUGAAAGACAGAAAGCUUUUCCUCUAAGAUCAGGAACAAGAUAAAGAUGCCCCGUCUCAUCACUUCCAUUCAACGUAGUGCUUGAUAUAGUUUGGAUUUGUGUCCCCACCCGAAUCUAAUGUUGAAUUAGAGGAGGGACCUGGUGCGAGGUGAAUGGACCAUGGGUAGGGAUUUCCCCCUUGCUGUUCUCCUGAUAGUGAAUGAGUUCUCACGAGAUCUGAUGGCUUAAAAGCAUGUAGCACUUCUCCCCUAGCUCUCUCCUGCCACCAUGUGAAGAAGGUCCUUGCUUCCCCUUCACCUUCUGCCAUGAUUGUAAGUUUCCUGAGAUCCCCCAAGUCAUGCUUCCUGUAAAGUCUGCAGAACAGUGAGUCAAUCAAACCUAUUUUCUUCAUGAAUUACCCAGUCUCAGAUAGUUCUUUAUAGCAAUGUGAAAAUGGAUUAAUACAGUACUGGAAGUUCUAACAAGGUCAAUUAGGCAAGAAAAAGAAAUACAAGGCAUGUAAAUCAAAUCACAAGGCAUUCAAAUGAAAUCAGAAAGGAAGAAGUAAAAGUAUAUUUGCUCAUAGAUGAUGUGAUACUGUGUGUAGAAAAUCCCAAAGACACUUCCAAAAAACUUAGAAUGAAUAAACAAAUUCAUUAAAGUUACAGCAUACAAAAUUCACAUAUGAAAAUUUGUUGAGUUUCUAUAUACUAACAAUGAACCAUCUGAAAAGGAAAUUAAGAAAAAAUUCUGUUUACAGAAGCAUAAAGGAGAAUAAAAUAGAAAUAAACCAAACCAAGAAGGUAAAGGACAUACACACACACCAAAACAUUGAUGAAUAAAACUAAAGAAGACACAAAUAAAUGGAAAAACAUCCUGCGUUCAUGGAUUGGAAGACUUAGUGUUGUUAAAAUAUCCAUACUAUCCAAAGCAAUAUAUGGAUUCAAGCUAUCCCCAUUCAAUCACAAUGGCAUUUUU